Grus americana (Whooping crane) is the source of this 999-nucleotide long non-coding RNA. RefSeq lists it as uncharacterized. The transcript is spliced from 4 exons. Lineage: Eukaryota; Metazoa; Chordata; Aves; Gruiformes; Gruidae. The record is from RefSeq and is a predicted model, not a curated record.
GCAGCCUGGCUGCAUGGUGAUGAUCUCCCCUUGGGCUGGGACACCUCUCAAGGUUGCUCCUCGAGGCAGAGAGACCUUUUACCAAUGGCAGAUCUUUGAGUAGGAGGAGGGAGACCUAUAAAAAAAAUACUCUUAUAUGAGCAGGAAGGAAUAGAACUAUGCACUGUUUGCAGAAGACCACAUCAAGUUUCACAGAGGAGAAGCAACGUACACUUUCCUUAUAAACAGUCAGUAGUACAGCACCUGCUUUUCUUGGAAGGUGAGAGACAGCAGGAGAGUCGGAAGGACUGGGACAUCAGAAGUGCCAAAGGACAAAGGCAUUUUUAUUCUAAGGUCAAGACUCUACUCAUCCUUUGACUCAUUGCUCAUAUGAAAACACUGGCAUAAAGAAAAGCUCCUUAACAUCUGCUGUGAAGUAAAAGGCCACUGGAGACCCUUGUGGGACCAGAAGAAACAAUCGGAGUCCUAGAGAAAACAGGAAUGAGGAAAAUAGCUUAGCACAUAGACCACUGAGGUAAGGAGAACAGAGGUAUGAGCUGGGGGUGCUGGCUGCACGUAUGGAGGGUGAAGGGGAACACCAUGGGCACUAAGUAUUUUGAGGCAGCUGGAAGAAAGAUGUUGAAAUUCUUAAUAUUCUAGCAGCAUCACCAGCCCAACUCUGCUAAUGUUUGGUGUGGAUCGAAGAUCCCAGCCCCAGCUCUUUGGUGUCUGUGUGUCACUUUUUUCAGACCUAGCCUUCACCCUCAUGUUUUCAGACAUACUGAGAAAAUUAAGAAAGUAGCCAGUAAGUGUUAAAUAAAGACUUUCUCAAUAACCUUCCUUGUAUUUUGGGUGUCAGUCCUUCCCUCACAGAACCCCCAUAGGGUUUUUUUGUAAUGGCUCAGUACUGGAAAUGAGUACCUUUAACAUCUGCUCAAGCUGGGAGCAUUCAUCCUCUUGGCAUGAUUAAGCCUCAGGUGCCUGAAAACUCACUUCAUAAACGAUAGUGAAAACUCACUU